Molecule: long non-coding RNA, 1017 nt
Filed under: Sus scrofa (pig)
Lineage: Eukaryota; Metazoa; Chordata; Mammalia; Artiodactyla; Suidae
Description: lncRNA (ENSSSCG00015035933.1)
Source: RNAcentral
AGGACCCCUGGCCGCAGCCUGCAGGCAGCCCUAGCCUUGGGAUGGGGGUCUCCCCAGCCCCCUCCAUCUCCUGCCCCGCCCCCCCAAUGUAAAUCUAUAUAUUUAGUGCGAGCUAGUCUUACUCUGAGGUUAUGGCUCCUGGGGUGCCUGAGCCCCCAGGCCCUGACCCGUCCUGCGCCAGCCAAUAAUAUCCCCCCUCCAGGAAGGCUGCUUCCUCAGCUUAAAUAACUUUUUAAAAUAAAACUGCAAAUAUAAAUAUCUUUCUUUCUCAAAAAAUAGGAUUUUUGCUUUUUUUUGUUGAUUUUUACUUUUUUUUCCUCCUGCUUUUCUUUUCACUCUCUUGGUCUCGCCUCCUACAAUCCCAGAUGCCUGGACUGCCUUGGUCCUGGAGGGCCCCUGCCUCCAUUCUAUCACCUGCGACAAGGCCAUUCAGCCAUAGCUGUGGAGGCCGAUGGGUCUCAGUAGUGCAAAGACUCCCCAGAAGACCCUGGAAGGGGCUGGGGAACCCCUCCCCCUCCUACCCAAGACCUCUCCCCCUUGGAAGCAAGCAAAGGGAUAGCCAAGUACAAACAGGCUGACUAGAUGGGACAGCCACGAGGGGUCUCCUGGGCGAGCCGCCCUCGGGGGGGCAGACUUUGGUAUGGCCCAGGGGAGCUCCACUGGGCACAGGCCCAGGCCCACACCCAUGCCAGGCUGGGCCUGGUCUGGCAAUUUACAUUCACUGGUUUUUAAGGUUUUUUUUUUUUUUUUUUUUUUUUUUUUUUUUUUGCCUUUUUUUUCUCUUAAUCUCAAAAGGCAGGGUGGGGAUCAAGGUGGGGGGCUAGGCAGGGAGCAGCAGCAAGGGUGCAAAUCUCUCUCUCCCGGGUCCUGUGGGCUGGUGACUGCGCCAGGUGAGGGCUCCGACCCCACCAUCCCGCCAGGCCCACGGCCCCCACCCUCACCCUGGGGCGCCCCCCGGAGCCCCCACCUGAAGCCCCCCUGCCUGGACCUCACUCUCGAACACACGUGCACACACAC